CCGCGCCCGUCCCGCCGCCCCCGCCCGACGGGGUGCAGCAGGCGCGAAAACUUGGCAAUGCGAGAAAUCGUGACCAGGGAACUCCAAGUGCGUAGGGUAAGACCUACGCUUUUCUUGACUCUUCAAAGGUCUUGGAAUAAGGGGUGGGUAAGGACGGUGCCAGCCGCCGCGGUAAUACCGGCGCCUCAAGUGGUAGUCGCUUUUAUUGGGCCUAAAACGUCCGUAGCCGGUCUGGUGCAUUCGUGGGUAAAUCAACCCGCUCAACGGGUUGAAUUCUGCGAGCACGGCCAGACUUGGGACCGGGAGAGGUGUGGGGUACUCUCAGGGUAGGGGUAAAAUCCUGUCAUCCUGAGAGGACCACCUGUUGCGAAGGCGCCACACUAGAACGGAUCCGACGGUCAGGGACGAAACCUAGGGGCACGAACCGGAUUAGAUACCCGGGUAGUCCUAGGUGUAAACGCUGUGGACUUGAUGUUGGGGGCGCUCCGAGCGCUCUCAGUGUCGAAGCGAAGGUGAUAAGUNGNU
Molecule: ribosomal RNA, 525 nt
Filed under: uncultured archaeon
Lineage: Archaea
Description: bacterial SSU rRNA
Rfam family: Archaeal small subunit ribosomal RNA
Source: RNAcentral